This 208-nucleotide unclassified non-coding RNA is filed under the name Hevea brasiliensis (rubber tree). The record is from RNAcentral. Lineage: Eukaryota; Viridiplantae; Streptophyta; Magnoliopsida; Malpighiales; Euphorbiaceae.
AGUGUUUCGUAAACUACACGAGCAGAACAUGAUAGACAUUCGGACUGUGGAGCAACUCCCAUAAAUGGAUGGAAAAUAUUCACAUAUCAACAACUUAAAAAAUUAAACACUGCGAUGAACUUUUACACUAAUUCAAAAGAAAAGCUGAAACAGGUGACACACGUUUUCUAGUAGUCCCUCUAUCUCUCUUUUGUGGCAUUCAGCAACU